RNAcentral lists this unclassified non-coding RNA (219 nucleotides) under Hevea brasiliensis (rubber tree). The record is from RNAcentral. Lineage: Eukaryota; Viridiplantae; Streptophyta; Magnoliopsida; Malpighiales; Euphorbiaceae.
AUUUUAGGGCUGUUGGGUUCGUCUUUUUUUCUUUUUCUUUUUGGAGGGGCUUAAUCAAAUGAUGGCGAAGGGUGGGUUUUUUUGUCGAUAAGAUUCGGAGAUGUUUGAGGACGCUGUUCUUUAUGGUGGCGAUGUUGGCGUCACUCCUCGUGUCGUCGUUGCCAGUUCUUGUGGCCAUCGGAGACAUGCUGGUGCCUUGUAUUUUGAUCUCGAGUUUUA